AGUGAACGCUGGCGGUAGGCCUAACACAUGCAAGUCGAACGGCAGCACAGUAAGAGCUUGCUCUUACGGGUGGCGAGUGGCGGGCGGGUGAGGAAUACAUCGGAAUCUACUUUUUCGUGGGGGAUAACGUAGGGAAACUUACGCUAAUACCGCAUACGACCUACGGGUGAAAGCAGGGGAUCUUCGGACCUUGCGCGAUUGAAUGAGCCGAUGUCGGAUUAGCUAGUUGGCGGGGUAAAGGCCCACCAAGGCGACGAUCCGUAGCUGGUCUGAGAGGAUGAUCAGCCACACUGGAACUGAGACACGGUCCAGACUCCUACGGGAGGCAGCAGUGGGGAAUAUUGGACAAUGGGUGCAAGCCUGAUCCAGCCAUACCGCGUGGGUGAAGAAGGCCUUCGGGUUGUAAAGCCCUUUUGUUGGGAAAGAAAAGCAGCAGGUUAAUACCCCGCUGUUCUGACGGUACCCAAAGAAUAAGCACCGGCUAACUUCGUG
This 492-nucleotide ribosomal RNA is filed under the name uncultured bacterium. RNAcentral describes it as "partial 16S ribosomal RNA". It matches the Rfam family "Bacterial small subunit ribosomal RNA", at positions 29 to 507 of the family's 1533-position model. The record is from RNAcentral.